RNAcentral lists this ribosomal RNA (495 nucleotides) under uncultured bacterium. RNAcentral's name for it is "bacterial SSU rRNA". It matches the Rfam family "Bacterial small subunit ribosomal RNA", at positions 371 to 884 of the family's 1533-position model. The record is from RNAcentral.
AUGGGGGCAACCCUGAUCUAGCCAUGCCGCGUGUGUGAUGAAGGCCCUAGGGUCGUAAAGCACUUUCGCCAGAGAUGAUAAUGACAGUAUCUGGUAAAGAAACCCCGGCUAACUCCGUGCCAGCAGCCGCGGUAAUACGGAGGGGGUUAGCGUUGUUCGGAAUUACUGGGCGUAAAGCGCACGUAGGCGGWUUAGUAAGUUAGAGGUGAAAUCCCAGGGCUCAACCCUGGAACUGCCUUUAAUACUGCUAGUCUUGAGUUCGAGAGAGGUAASUGGAAUUCCGAGUGUAKAGGUGAAAUUCGUAGAUAUUCGGAGGAACACCAGUGGCGAAGGCGGCUUACUGGCUCGAUACUGACGCUGAKGUGCGAAAGUGUGGGGAGCAAACAGGAUUAGAUACCCUGGUAGUCCACACCGUAAACGAUGAAUGCCAGACGUCAGCAAGUAUACUUGUUGGUGUCACACCUAACGGAUUAAGCAUUCCGCCUGGGGAGUACG